RNAcentral lists this non-coding RNA (30 nucleotides) under Mus musculus (house mouse). The record is from RNAcentral. Lineage: Eukaryota; Metazoa; Chordata; Mammalia; Rodentia; Muridae.
UCUCGAUCUUGAAAGAAGAACCCACCAUGU